AACUCGCAGCUCUCCUGGAAGUGAAUCACGAGCUUUCCUGGGUGGAGGUAGCUGGAAGAGGCACCGAACCCCACCGAUAAGACCACAGGGCAGGGCAGGGGCACCAGAAAAGACCCUCCCCGCUCUCUUGGAUGUAAGGCCGGGCCAGGUUUUGGUUGAAGGUCACAUUGCUCCUGGGUCAGAGAACUAUAACAUCAAAGCGCCUUUAUGGCACACAGCCAUGUGAAGACACAGCAAGAAGGCAGCUGUCUACAAGCCAGGGAGAGAGGCCUCACCCUAAACCACCCCUGCCAGCAUUUUCAUCUUGGACUUCAAGCCUCCAGAACUGUGUCUUCUAGAGAAACCCAAGCUAAGACAGAGACUAAAGGACAAGGAAUAUGACCAAGGUCACACUGCUGUUCAAUGCCAAAGCUGGGUCUAUGUGCUGACUCCUGACUCCUUCUGCCAACAGCUCAUUCUACUGCCCAGCACAGAGAACUUUCAUGAAUUCAUCUCUGCAUUCCAGUGGGGACAUUUAUCACCCGGUGCCCAGGCUGCAGACAUCUCCCUCCUUAAGAUCCUCCUGCCCAGAAAGGCAGCCUUGUCAAAGACAUGAAACCAUCCCCUCUGGACAUCUGGACAAGGCGCAGCCCUUUGGCCAAGCACGAGGCCGUCCCGAAUGCCUCAGACA
RNAcentral lists this long non-coding RNA (670 nucleotides) under Homo sapiens (human). RNAcentral describes it as "non-protein coding lnc-MID1IP1-9:2". Lineage: Eukaryota; Metazoa; Chordata; Mammalia; Primates; Hominidae. The record is from RNAcentral.